Molecule: ribosomal RNA, 1407 nt
Filed under: Triticum aestivum (bread wheat)
Lineage: Eukaryota; Viridiplantae; Streptophyta; Magnoliopsida; Poales; Poaceae
Description: partial small subunit ribosomal RNA
Source: RNAcentral
AUGCCGCCAGGAGGAGGAGGAGGAGGAGGAGGAGGAGGCGAAGGCGAACAUGGGUACGAGAAGCCGGCGGAGGCAUUGCCGCCAGGAGCAGGAGGAGGCGAGCACGGGCAUGUGUACGGGGAACCGGCGGCCGCCCACGGAGGGCAACGCCGCGACGAGGAGGAUCCAUCCCGUUCUUCCCCGCUUCCGCCGCCAUUGCUGCCCGGCCUCCCCGUCGUCUCCGUAGAGUAUGAGGAGGAGAAUAAGAAGAAGCAGAAGCACGAGCAGGCCGAGGUGAGCAUCCCCGAGGACAUCCUCAUGGAGAUCCUGUCGCGGGUGCCCUACAGGUCGCAAUGCCGCUUCAAGUGCGUGUCCAGGCCAUGGCUUACCCUCUGCUCCGACCGCGGCGCCCGCAAGAGGUCCCCGCAGACGCUCUCCGGAUUCUUCUACUUGAAUCGCGGUUUACGCUUCCACAAUUUGUCGGGGAAAGGCCCUCCGAUGGUCGACCCUGAUCUCCCUUUCUUGCGCAGCACCUAUGAAUGCUUCUAUGUCGAACAAUGCAGCACCAGCCUUCUCCUCUGCAAAUGCUUGAAAUCGCCCCAGCCUAUGCAACACGGUUGGAAUUCAUUUCCAGAAGGUGAGCCUAAUCAAAGCUUCACAAGGACCGAGGCUAAUGGCGCCGAUUAUGUUGUCUGCAACCCUGCUACCCAGGAGUGGACUUCGCUACCUCCUAUAAAAUUGGGCGACCUGGCACACGGACACCUGUACCAUUUCUCCCGACGCAAAUACUUUUUGGGUUUUGACCCAGCAGUUCCUUCCCGCUUUGUGGUAUUUGUGUCCCUGAUCCCAAAAUAUGUUGGCCUCUCCAUGACAAUGUUCUGCUCAUCAGAAACUGGGGGAUGGACUGCCAUGCAGGGUCAGCGUCAUUAUCUCAGAACACAUCGAUUUGGUGCCUUCCUGAAUGGCACUAUGCACUGGUAUACUCGUUUGUCAAUAGUCACAGUGGACAUGAAGGGGAAUGCUUGCAUGGAAAUUAAAAUGCCACCUGCCAUUAUGAAAAAUGACAGUGCUGUUCCUUUUGUUGGGCAGUCGCAGGGACGCUUGUAUGCCUCGAGUAUAGACAACCAAGAUGGUUGCCAACUCACUGUUUGGAUUCUUGAGAAUUAUGCUACUGGACAGUGGAACCUAAAGUGUACUGUUAGCUGCUUGGAACUGAUCGGACGAGAUUCUCUCAAAGAAGGUGAGUGCUACCGGACGUUUGCAAUUCAUCCGGAUUGUGAUUUGAUUUUCUUUACUGACGGUAAGGAGAAGGCAUUGUCAUAUGAUAUGACUAACCAGGAAGUGCAUGUUGUCUCUUCUUCUGGAGAUUUCCUGGGAGGUCUUCCUUACAUUCCCUGUUUUGCGGAGUGGAAAUCAGACGGUUACUAG